CCUACGGGCGGCAGCAGUGGGGGAUAUUGCACAAUGGGGGGAACCCUGAUGCAGCGACGCCGCGUGGGUGAAGAAGCGCCUCGGCGCGUAAAGCCCUGUCAGCAGGGAAGAAAAUGACGGUACCUGAAGAAGAAGCACCGGCUAACUACGUGCCAGCAGCCGCGGUAAUACGUAGGGGGCAAGCGCUAUCCGGAUUUACUGGGUGUAAAGGGGGCGCAGACGGCGAUGCAAGCCAGGAGUGAAAGCCGGGGGCCCAACCCCCGGACAGCUCUUGGAACUGCGUGGCUGGAGUGCAGGAGGGGCAGGCGGAAUUCCUGGUGUAGCGGUGAAAUGCGUAGAUAUCAGGAGGAACACCAGUGGCGAAGGCGGCCUGCUGGCCUGCAACUGACGUUGAGGCCCGAAAGCGUGGGGAGCAAACAGGAUUAGAUACCCCUGUAGUC
RNAcentral lists this ribosomal RNA (440 nucleotides) under uncultured bacterium. Its description in RNAcentral is "partial 16S ribosomal RNA". It matches the Rfam family "Bacterial small subunit ribosomal RNA", at positions 338 to 795 of the family's 1533-position model. The record is from RNAcentral.